AGCGAACGCUGGCGGCAGGCUUAACACAUGCCAGUCGAGCGGACCUUUCGGGGUCAGCGGCGGACGGGUGAGUAACGCGUGGGAACGUGCCUUCCGGUUCGGAAUAACCCUGGGAAACUAGGGCUAAUACCGGAUACGCCCUUAUGGGGAAAGGUUUACUGCCGGAAGAUCGGCCCGCGUCUGAUUAGCUAGUUGGUGGGGUAACGGCCUACCAAGGCGACGAUCAGUAGCUGGUCUGAGAGGAUGAUCAGCCACACUGGGACUGAGACACGGCCCAGACUCCUACGGGAGGCAGCAGUGGGGAAUAUUGGACAAUGGGCGCAAGCCUGAUCCAGCCAUGCCGCGUGAGUGAUGAAGGCCUUAGGGUUGUAAAGCUCUUUUAUCCGGGACGAUAAUGACGGUACCGGAAGAAUAAGCCCCGGCUAACUUCGUG
This 433-nucleotide ribosomal RNA is filed under the name uncultured bacterium. Its description in RNAcentral is "partial 16S ribosomal RNA". It matches the Rfam family "Bacterial small subunit ribosomal RNA", at positions 29 to 507 of the family's 1533-position model. The record is from RNAcentral.